Molecule: ribosomal RNA, 608 nt
Filed under: fungal sp. Griff. DX-FIL12
Lineage: Eukaryota; Fungi
Description: eukaryotic LSU rRNA
Rfam family: 5.8S ribosomal RNA (bases 218-371)
Source: RNAcentral
CUUCCGUAGGGUGAACCUGCGGAGGGAUCAUUACCGAGUUUACAACUCCCAAACCCAAUGUGAACCAUACCAAACUGUUGCCUCGGCGGGGUCACGCCCCGGGUGCGUCGCAGCCCCGGAACCAGGCGCCCGCCGGAGGGACCAACCAAACUCUUUCUGUAGUCCCCUCGCGGACGUUAUUUCUUACAGCUCUGAGCAAAAAUUCAAAAUGAAUCAAAACUUUCAACAACGGAUCUCUUGGUUCUGGCAUCGAUGAAGAACGCAGCGAAAUGCGAUAAGUAAUGUGAAUUGCAGAAUUCAGUGAAUCAUCGAAUCUUUGAACGCACAUUGCGCCCGCCAGUAUUCUGGCGGGCAUGCCUGUCCGAGCGUCAUUUCAACCCUCGAACCCCUCCGGGGGGUCGGCGUUGGGGAUCGGGAACCCCUAAGACGGGAUCCCGGCCCCGAAAUACAGUGGCGGUCUCGCCGCAGCCUCUCCUGCGCAGUAGUUUGCACAACUCGCACCGGGAGCGCGGCGCGUCCACGUCCGUAAAACACCCAACUUCUGAAAUGUUGACCUCGGAUCAGGUAGGAAUACCCGCUGAACUUAAGCAUAUCAAUAAGCGGAGGAA